Thunnus maccoyii (southern bluefin tuna) is the source of this 1043-nucleotide long non-coding RNA. RefSeq lists it as uncharacterized. The record is from RefSeq and is a predicted model, not a curated record. NCBI's taxonomy places the organism in Eukaryota, Metazoa, Chordata, Actinopteri, Scombriformes, Scombridae. The transcript has 3 exons.
AAGAUAAGCUAAAACUUUCUCCCUAGCCCCCAUCAAGAUAUAUUUUGCAGAAUAAAAUUUAUCAACUAAAUAUUAUUCAGUUGACUUAAGCCAGUAAAGGAAAAUAUUCAUCUUAAAAAUGUGUGAAAAUGUAGAGAUUUGAUCCUUGUUCAACAGAAAAGUAGAGUCUAAUCUAUUGAUUUUUUCUUGUAGUUGAGCCUGGUGAAAUGACAAACCUGAUGAGUGUGAUCGUGAGCAGCGUGACUCUUGUUCUCACUAAGGUCAUCAUUGGACUUGUCAUCAAAAUGAGUCAACUUCAGACAGAAUCUGCACUCUGAUGACCAGAAAGAUGCAGCACUGACUGCCAAUCCAAAAAAGAGAAAGAAGCAGAAACUCAACCUCCAUUCUACUGCAACUAGACUAAGGGAGAGACUUGAAAUGUAGUCCUGAUCCAGGACCGCCAUGCCACAUAUCACAUUCCUGGAUGGCCAGACAUUUCAGUCACUCAGGGGCUCAUAGAAUUUGUUAAAAUGGAACGUUAAAAAUAUGAGCUCACUGGAUGGCAGGCUAUCUUCACCAAAUAAUGAGUAAAAGAAGAGUUGAGGUCUGCCACAGUGGAGGAAUGAGUGAGGUAUACAUCGCUUCUUUGACGGGAAGAGACAGCACAGUGUGGUCUGAACACAUCAUGAUACAGUCACAAAUCUGUAAGAAAUUCUAAACAGAAAAAGUGAACACUGGCCUUGUCGCUUUGGUCAUAAGGAUAAAUUACAAUCUGUAUAUUUGUACUGAAUAUGCACUAGUGAAUGAAAACAACAGAUGACCUCACACAGUACUUCUCAUCGACACUAAAGGCAUCUACAGUGGAUCAACACAUUAAUCACAGUAAUUAGGAUGAAUAUCCAUCCAUGGCCAUCAUGGACCCCCAAAGAAGCAGAAUACUUUUGGCAAUAUUGGUAACCGUGCAACAAAUGUUUCCAGGAACAUUUAGGUCAUUACAUUUCCCUUACAUUAGUCCCAUUAAACACCAUAGGGAUAGACACAACAUCCAAGCAUUCAUUCAUCCA